Molecule: ribosomal RNA, 377 nt
Filed under: uncultured bacterium
Lineage: Bacteria
Description: bacterial SSU rRNA
Rfam family: Bacterial small subunit ribosomal RNA
Source: RNAcentral
AUUGAACGCUGGCGGCGUGCUUAACACAUGCAAGUCGUGCGGUAACAGGCGUAGCAAUACGUGCUGACGAGCGGCGAACGGGUGCGUAAUACAUGGGAAUCUGCCUUUUAGUGGGGAAUAACCCGGCGAAAGCCGGGCUAAUGCCGCAUAAGAUCUUCGGAUGAAAGCGGGGGAUCGUAAGACCUCGCGCUGAUAGAUGAGCCCAUGCCGGAUUAGCUAGNGGUGAGGUAACGGCUCACCAAGGCGACGAUCCGUAGCUGGUCUGAGAGGACGGCCAGCCACACUGGGACUGAGACACGGCCCAGACUCCUACGGGAGGCAGCAGGUGGGGAAUAUUGGACAAGUGGGGGAAACCCUGAUCCAGCGACGCCUCGUGU